Molecule: non-coding RNA, 73 nt
Organism: Potamilus streckersoni
Lineage: Eukaryota; Metazoa; Mollusca; Bivalvia; Unionida; Unionidae
Source: the annotation of a GenBank genome assembly
UGCUCCGGGGCCUAGUGGUCACAGCGUCCGCCUCGGAUGCGGGAAGUCGCGGGUUCGAACCCCAGCCGAGUAA